GAGAUAUUACCUCCUUGAUUGCUGGUAGAGAUGGAGUGAAAAGAGAGGACGACGAUGGUGGUGACGAUGUGGGAUUGGAGAUGUGGCAUUAAGAAAGGAUUCCAGUUGAGAGAGUUAAAGGGGCGGCAUUUGCAAAUAAACCAAAAAUCCAUCCCUAAGUAAGUCUCUGCAGAGUUAAUCUUUUCCUCUAAAAUCAUCAAGGCCAUUUCUAUCAUUUAAAUGGGCUUAAACGAUAACAGGUGGCAACAAUAGACAGUAG
This 259-nucleotide long non-coding RNA is filed under the name Elaeis guineensis (African oil palm). RNAcentral's name for it is "long non-coding RNA (EGUI_LNC005213)". Lineage: Eukaryota; Viridiplantae; Streptophyta; Magnoliopsida; Arecales; Arecaceae. The record is from RNAcentral.